Molecule: long non-coding RNA, 310 nt
Filed under: Pelobates cultripes (western spadefoot toad)
Lineage: Eukaryota; Metazoa; Chordata; Amphibia; Anura; Pelobatidae
Source: RNAcentral
AGCUCCAAGGAGUUCCCUGGCGUGGCAGUUCUUCAGACAAUGUGCUGACGACAAGACAAGGGUGGUUUGCACGCUGUGCAAUCAGAGCCUGAAGCGAGGCACAAACAUUCUAAGCGUGAGCACAACCUGCAUGACCAGGCAUCUACAUGCAAAGCACAAGCUGCAGUGGAGUAAGCACCUCAAAAACCAAGAAAGGUCUCAGGCUCCUCCUGCUUCCUCUUCUGCUGCUGUCUCGGCCUCUUCCUCCACCUCUGGAGUCAGAGUGGCACCUGCCACCCCGCAAAUAGAGGAUGUGGCAGCAACGCCACCA